RNAcentral lists this ribosomal RNA (436 nucleotides) under Triticum aestivum (bread wheat). RNAcentral's name for it is "partial small subunit ribosomal RNA". Lineage: Eukaryota; Viridiplantae; Streptophyta; Magnoliopsida; Poales; Poaceae. The record is from RNAcentral.
UGGAGGGGAGCGACCUGUCGAGGCUGCAGCGGCCGGUGGUGGAGGGGAGGUGGCCGAGGACCUGGACGAUGCAGCUGAUGGCGACGCUGUAGCUGGUGGGGGAGGGGAGGGCACGGGAAGGGGUGAUGCAUCUGAUUCUGGUGGUGGAGGGGGAGGGCGUCGGCUACGUCUGCGCGGCAUCGGCGACGGCAUCGGCGACGGCGACAGCGACGGCUAGGGUUUUGGGGAUUUCCUCCCGGCGAGGCGAGGGGAAAAGAGAGAAGCUUUCUUCCUGGAUAGGAUGGAUGGAAUGGGAAGCGAGGAGAAGGGGAAAGCUAACGGAGGUCGCGUAAAUGGGCCAGGCCCAGGCCCAGCGCGCAGGAACGAGAGCCCUCACGUCGCAUGGGGAUCUCCUAGGGCGAGUUUGGUUUCAACAAGUCACUUGACUUACAGUCAG